This 24-nucleotide ribosomal RNA is filed under the name Cladonia conista (nom. illeg.). RNAcentral's name for it is "Cladonia conista partial 28S ribosomal RNA". Lineage: Eukaryota; Fungi; Ascomycota; Lecanoromycetes; Lecanorales; Cladoniaceae. The record is from RNAcentral.
CAGGUAGGGAUACCGGCUGAACUA